GUAUAAUGAUUUUAGCGCUUUUAAGAACAGGAGAAUAUUUUAUUCAAUUUCUAAAUACUUAACUUCCUAUAUUCAAUCUUAAACUAAGCAUUCUCCAAAAAUACACCAAUGAUUCAGCUUAAAAGAUAAAUUGAUCUUUGAUUUGCAUUUUAGAAACAGAGCAAAAGAACUAAUGAAAAUUUUAAACUAGCUAUUUGUAGUGACAUAUUUAAGCAUUUAACAACUUAUGAAAUGGCAAAUCAAGUUGGAUGCUCUCUUAAACACUAGACCCUUAACACAAAUUGGAGACAAAAUUCAACAAACACUCAUGGUGCUUGCAAUUUAGUAGAUACUUACUGCUUUUAAUAAUCUCAACUUUUUACUUUAUGUCCAAGUUACUACUUCAGGAAUUCUCAAUACUUAUUAAUAAAGAAAAAUAACAUGACUCCUGUAACAGCUUUCCUCAAGUUUAAAAAUAUUUGACAGGUUUUCACUAACGCUACUAAUCUACUGGUCUGAAGGUGAACAGGCCUAAGAGAAGAGAAGUGAUUAGGAAAUAGUGUAUAAUUUCAUAAAUAAAGAUGUUCUAUCACUUACUCAUUUUGUCUUAUUUAAUUUGUAUUGGAUUUAAUCACAAGAUAGGGAGGGAACUAAAAUCUAGCUAAAAACUAUUAAGUUAGGCACAUUACGUAACUAUCAUGAGAAUUAUGGAUGCCAACCAACAAGUUUUGAGCAUCUUCAAAUCUUCAUUUACAUCCUUAUGAGGUGACACCCUUUCAAUGGAAAAGAACAGAAAACAUCCAGAAAUCAAGAGAGUUAUACAGAAUCACACNNNNNNNNNNNNNNNNAUUCAGAUCAAGUAUUGUCACUGAGGAUUUUUUAAAUGGAAUCAAACAUUUUUGAACGCACAUACUUAGAAUGCAAACUGACUGUUAUAUAUGCAAGGUACAUUUUAAAAACACAUACACCAAUAGUGAAAACACCAGCAAUCUGAGCAAAAAAAAAUUUAAAAUUUUUUUUUAUUUAUGGGCUGAUGUUUUAUGUACUUAGCCUGUAUUGCCAACUGUACUAUGAGUCUUCGAAGGCAGGUACUUCAUUGUAUAAUGGGCUGAAUAUACAGUAUAAAUUCAAUAAAUACUUAAUUAAGUAGUUAUCUUCCAACUUUAGCUUGGCAGAAAGCUAGGAUGGUGUUUUCAGAAAAUGACAUUAAAUCAGAUAAUUGACAAUAAAGAUGUUAAUAGAUACAAAUUCUACAAUUUAUACAAUGGUUGAUCCAACUGAUUGAGUAUCCCAGAAGGAAUUCUUAGAAAUUAAUAAAGUAGACUUUGUCCCAGAAAGUACAAAACAAGCAGAGCUGUAUACAACUUAGUUUAACUUUUU
This 1359-nucleotide long non-coding RNA is filed under the name Capra hircus (goat). RNAcentral describes it as "lncRNA (ENSCHIG00010012377.1)". The record is from RNAcentral. Lineage: Eukaryota; Metazoa; Chordata; Mammalia; Artiodactyla; Bovidae.